GGGGGCGUCACGGUUUCGACGUGUUCAGUGAGGUCAAAGUCGCGUGCCGAGGUCCCGGGGCCUCGUAAACCUCUCGGGGAAUUCAUAACUGCCAACAACAACCUGGCAAUGGCUGCGUAAGGUUCUGCCUUACUUGUAGCCCGUCGCUGGAGUAGCUCGCCCGAAGCGCCUCCAAACGACGUCGCAAAUUCGGGCUGGUCCCUCGAUGGCGCCGCUUCGUCGGGGACGAGAACAUACCGGCGGCUAGCCCAGGCAGGCCGCACCCCGGCCUCGUCUGAUCGCGAAUCCAACAGGGUGAUACGCACGUAGACGCUUUGACGGAUCGGUUCGCGGACGCGGGUUCGACUCCCGCCGCCUCCACUG
Molecule: transfer-messenger RNA, 363 nt
Filed under: Longimicrobiales
Lineage: Bacteria; Pseudomonadati; Gemmatimonadota; Longimicrobiia
Also listed under: 1 other name
Description: SHZS01 sp009692105 Standard tmRNA
Rfam family: transfer-messenger RNA
About the family: Bacterial tmRNA, also known as 10Sa RNA or SsrA, is named for its dual tRNA and mRNA-like properties. Its role is to liberate the mRNA from a stalled ribosome.
Source: RNAcentral